CUCCAGGAACAGCCACCUGAUCACAUAGUGGGGUAUACUUCACGUCAUGGCACUAACUUUUACCAGUGCACACCAAAUAGCUCAGAGUGCCACAUAACAGAGACCAAAUGGUCCCCUUGAGGCCAUUAUUUUAUGCAACCUUUUAAGUACACAUCACUCACCCACCCUUUCGAUCUUACCACCAACUCCCUUCAUAACGUGUACCUGUACUUCUCUCCCCUUCUCACCAAGCUGAAAAUGACUAGCCUGAUUUCCACAAUAACAAAAAUGCGCAAAGUCUUAGCGAUGCCACAGUUUGUUUUCUGUUUAACUAAAAAUGUGCAAAGUCUUAGC
Molecule: non-coding RNA, 333 nt
Organism: Pelobates cultripes (western spadefoot toad)
Lineage: Eukaryota; Metazoa; Chordata; Amphibia; Anura; Pelobatidae
Source: the annotation of a GenBank genome assembly